GAUGAACGCUGGCGGCGUGCCUAAUACAUGCCAGUCGAGCGAACAGAUGAGGAGCUUGCUCCUCUGACGUUAGCGGCGGACGGGUGAGUAACACGUGGAUAACCUACCUAUAAGACUGGGAUAACUUCGGGAAACCGGAGCUAAUACCGGAUAAUAUAUUGAACCGCAUGGUUCAAUAGUGAAAGACGGUUUUGCUGUCACUUAUAGAUGGAUCCGCGCCGCAUUAGCUAGUUGGUAAGGUAACGGCUUACCAAGGCAACGAUGCGUAGCCGACCUGAGAGGGUGAUCGGCCACACUGGAACUGAGACACGGUCCAGACUCCUACGAGAGGCAGCAGUAGGGAAUCUUCCGCAAUGGGCGAAAGCCUGACGGAGCAACGCCGCGUGAGUGAUGAAGGUCUUCGGAUCGUAAAACUCUGUUAUUAGGGAAGAACAAAUGUGUAAGUAACUAUGCACGUCUUGACGGUACCUAAUCAGAAAGCCACGGCUAACUACGUG
RNAcentral lists this ribosomal RNA (497 nucleotides) under uncultured bacterium. RNAcentral's name for it is "partial 16S ribosomal RNA". It matches the Rfam family "Bacterial small subunit ribosomal RNA", at positions 28 to 507 of the family's 1533-position model. The record is from RNAcentral.